Molecule: non-coding RNA, 28 nt
Filed under: Mus musculus (house mouse)
Lineage: Eukaryota; Metazoa; Chordata; Mammalia; Rodentia; Muridae
Source: RNAcentral
UGAAAUGGUUUCUGGGUGCAGAGGGCUG